Molecule: ribosomal RNA, 454 nt
Filed under: uncultured bacterium
Lineage: Bacteria
Description: bacterial SSU rRNA
Rfam family: Bacterial small subunit ribosomal RNA
Source: RNAcentral
UCGAAGGCAGCAGUGGGGAAUAUUGCACAAUGGGCGAAAGCCUGAUGCAGCUAUGCCGCGCGUAUGAAGAAGGCCUUAGGGUUGUAAAGUACUUUCAUCGGGGAGGAAAAAACAAAACUAAUAAUUUUAUUUCUUGACGUUACCCGAAAAAGAAGCACCGGCUAACUCCGUGCCAGCAGCCGCGGUAAUACGGAGGGUGCUAGCGUUAAUCAGAAUUACUGGGCGUAAAGAGCACGUAGGUGGUUUUUUUAAGUCAGAUGUGAAAUCCCUGGGCUUAACCUAGGAACUGCAUUUUGAAACUGAAAUACUAGAGUAUCGUAGAGGGAGGUAGAAUUCUAGGUGUAGCGGUGAAAUGCGUAGAUAUCUGGAGGAAUACCUGUGGCGAAAGCGGCCUCCUAAACGAAUACUGACACUGAGGUGCGAAAGCGUGGGGAGCAAACAGGGAUUAGAUACC